GGUAAGAUGGCCGAGUGGUUAAGGCGGUCGAUUUAAGAGCUCAGCUUAGACUCCCACUGGUGAAUACCGCGUGGGUUCAAUCCCCACUCUUACCA
Molecule: non-coding RNA, 95 nt
Organism: Stygiomarasmius scandens
Lineage: Eukaryota; Fungi; Basidiomycota; Agaricomycetes; Agaricales; Campanellaceae
Source: the annotation of a GenBank genome assembly